AAUGCUUCGUAGAUUGACUUUCCUGAUCUUCUUCUCUUACCUACAAUCUCUCCUUUUCGUGUAUGCGUAUCCACCAAAUGAAACAAUAUGCACGCUAAUAUGCACUUAUGUAGUGGUCCAUUCAUCUAAGAAUUGGAGGUAUCAGGAAAAUAGCACAUUAUACAUGCGUUGUAUGCUGUGUAGAGUAGUCAAAGCCAAUUGCCGGUAGAUGCACUGCCAUAGACCAUGACUAGUAU
Molecule: long non-coding RNA, 236 nt
Filed under: Oryza brachyantha (malo sina)
Lineage: Eukaryota; Viridiplantae; Streptophyta; Magnoliopsida; Poales; Poaceae
Description: long non-coding RNA (OBRA_LNC002302)
Source: RNAcentral